UAGGGAAUCUUCCACAAUGGACGCAAGUCUGAUGGAGCAACGCCGCGUGAGUGAAGAAGGUCUUCGGAUCGUAAAGCUCUGUUGUUGGUGAAGAAGGAUAGAGGCAGUAACUGGUCUUUAUUUGACGGUAAUCAACCAGAAAGUCACGGCUAACUACGUGCCAGCAGCCGCGGUAAUACGUAGGUGGCAAGCGUUGUCCGGAUUUAUUGGGCGUAAAGCGAGCGCAGGCGGAAUGAUAAGUCUGAUGUGAAAGCCCACGGCUCAACCGUGGAACUGCAUCGGAAACUGUCAUUCUUGAGUGCAGAAGAGGAGAGUGGAACUCCAUGUGUAGCGGUGGAAUGCGUAGAUAUAUGGAAGAACACCAGUGGCGAAGGCGGCUCUCUGGUCUGCAAACUGACGCUGAGGCUCGAAAGCAUGGGUAGCGAACAGGAUUAGAUACCCUGGUAGUCCAUGCCGUAAACGAUGAGCGCUAGGUGUUGGGGACUUUCCGGUUCUCAGUGCCGCAGCAAACGCAUUAAGCGCUCCGCCUGGGGAGUACGG
This 540-nucleotide ribosomal RNA is filed under the name uncultured bacterium. RNAcentral describes it as "partial 16S ribosomal RNA". It matches the Rfam family "Bacterial small subunit ribosomal RNA", at positions 355 to 885 of the family's 1533-position model. The record is from RNAcentral.